GCCUCAGUAGCUCAGGGGAUAGAGCACCACUCUCCUAAAGUGGGUGUCGCAGGUUCGAAUCCUGCCUGGGGCACAA
Molecule: transfer RNA, 76 nt
Filed under: Nesterenkonia sphaerica
Lineage: Bacteria; Bacillati; Actinomycetota; Actinomycetes; Micrococcales; Micrococcaceae
Also listed under: 2 other names
Description: Nesterenkonia sp. GY239 tRNA-Arg
Rfam family: tRNA
About the family: Transfer RNA (tRNA) molecules are approximately 80 nucleotides in length. Their secondary structure includes four short double-helical elements and three loops (D, anti-codon, and T loops).
Source: RNAcentral